This 426-nucleotide ribosomal RNA is filed under the name uncultured bacterium. RNAcentral describes it as "partial 16S ribosomal RNA". It matches the Rfam family "Bacterial small subunit ribosomal RNA", at positions 354 to 796 of the family's 1533-position model. The record is from RNAcentral.
GUGAGGAAUUUUCCGCAAUGGGCGAAAGCCUGACGGAGCAAAGCCGCGUGAAGGAUGAAGGCCUAUGGGUUGUAAACUUCUUUUCUCAGAAAAGAAUUAUGACGGUAUCUGAGGAAUAAGCAUCGGCUAACUCUGUGCCAGCAGCCGCGGUAAGACAGAGGAUGCAAGCGUUAUCCGGAAUGAUUGGGCGUAAAGCGUCUGUAGGUUGUUUAAAAAGUAUUCUGUCAAAGAUUAGGGCUUAACCCUAGAUAGGCAGAAUAAACUUUUAAGCUAGAGUUUGGUAGAGGCAGAGGGAAUUCCCGGUGGAGCGGUGAAAUGCGUAGAUAUCGGGAGGAACACCAAAGGCGAAGGCACUCUGCUGGGCCAAUACUAACACUGAGAGACGAAAGCGAGGGGAGCAAAUGGGAUUAGAUACCCGUGUAGUCC